RNAcentral lists this ribosomal RNA (333 nucleotides) under Terebellides sp. SMA_BR_25. Its description in RNAcentral is "partial large subunit ribosomal RNA". It matches the Rfam family "Bacterial large subunit ribosomal RNA", at positions 1856 to 2345 of the family's 2925-position model. The record is from RNAcentral. Lineage: Eukaryota; Metazoa; Annelida; Polychaeta; Terebellida; Trichobranchidae.
AUCCUGCCCAGUGACCAAAAGGUUAAACGGCCGCGGUACCCUGACCGUGCUAAGGUAGCAUAAUAAAUCGCCCUUUAAUUGUGGGCUAGUAUGAAUGGAUAAACGAAGGCUUAACUGUCUCAACUAUAGAAAUAAAAAUUGGCCUUUAGGUGAAAAGACCUAAAUAAAAUUAGAGGACAAAAAGACCCCGUAGAGCUUAGUAUUUCAACAACUUAAUUUUUUAUAUUAUUUUAUAAAAAACACAUUAGUGAAAAAUAUUUGGCUGGGGCGGCUAUGGAGCAAAAAACCUCCACAAACAACCAAAGAUUCGCUUAUCUUUUAUAUAAAAUGAUC